AAGAAGAAGAAGAAGAAGAAGAAGAACUCGAAUCUCCUGUGGCUAGCUGCUUGUGCUUGGCGUUUUCCAAAAUCGUUGAAGAAUACUGCUGGAUCGAGCCAAAAUAACACAGCCGAAGGAUUAUAUUGUUUGUUUUCUGACAACCACUCGACGGUCAGGUUUUUUCCCCCCACCACCUGUUUCAACCCAGGAUGGCGAGCUACUGGAUCACCGCAGCUUUGCGGUAGUACUUUAUUGAACCAAACUACUUUUCUUUUCCGGACCUAUUGCUUUGGGUCAUGGACUUUAAAACAUUCUGAUUAUUGAUUGAUGGACCAUUAAUCACCCUGCAUACAAAAGAACGGACUUGAAUAAGAGAAAAAAACACUCUUGGGUGUCAUCAGGGUUUAUUUUUUUGUUGUUGUUGAUUUCUUGUUGUGCUUGUUGUUUAUACUUAUAGGAAAAUAUUAUUAUUGCAAAUAUAUGAAUUUGAAUACAAUAACUUAAACUUA
Molecule: long non-coding RNA, 491 nt
Organism: Xiphophorus couchianus (Monterrey platyfish)
Lineage: Eukaryota; Metazoa; Chordata; Actinopteri; Cyprinodontiformes; Poeciliidae
Exons: 2
Source: RefSeq, a predicted model, not a curated record